CGGUUGAUCCUGCCGGAGGUCACCGCUAUUGGAAUACGAUUAAGGCAUGCGAGUCGAGAGUCUUCGGGACUCGGCAGACGGCUCAGUAACACGUAGAUAACCUGCCCUUAGGUGGGGGAUAAUCUCGAGAAAUUGAGAAUAAUACCCCAUAGGUCUAGGAUGCUGGAAUGCUUUUAGAUUCAAAGCUCCGGCGCCUAAGGAUGGGUCUGCGGCCUAUCAGGUUGUAGUGAGUGUAACGGACUCACUAGCCUACGACGGGUACGGGCCCUGAGAGGGGGAGCCCGGAGAUGGACUCUGAGACACGAGUCCAGGCCCCAAGGGGCGCAGCAGCUACGAAAACUUCACAAUGCGGGAAACCGCGAUGAGGGAAUUCCAAGUGCUGCAGUAUAACUGUAGGCUGUUUAGUUGCCUAAAAAGCAAGUAGAGUAAGGGCUGGGUAAGACUGGUGCCAGCCGCCGCGGUAAUACCAGCAGCCCGAGUGGUGACCACUUUUAUUGGGCCUAAAGCGUCCGUAGCCGGUUUGGUAAACCCUUGGGUAAAUCGAGCAGCUUAACUGUUCGACUUCUGAGGAGACUGCCAGACUUGGGACCGGGAGAGGUUGGAAGUACUUUUGGGGUAGGGGUGAAAUCCUGUAAUCCCAAAAGGACUACCGGUGGCGAAGGCGUCCAACUAGAACGGGUCCGACGGUAAGGGACGAAGCCCUGGGUCACGAACCGGAUUAGAUACCCGGGUAGUCCAGGGUGUAAACGCUGCAGGCUUGGUGUUGGGGGUCCUACGAGGGCGUCCAGUGCCGGAGAGAAGUUGUUAAGCCUGCCGCCUGGGGAGUACGGUCGCAAGACUGAAACUUAAAGGAAUUGGCGGGGGAGCAC
This 869-nucleotide ribosomal RNA is filed under the name uncultured archaeon. RNAcentral's name for it is "bacterial SSU rRNA". It matches the Rfam family "Archaeal small subunit ribosomal RNA", at positions 5 to 879 of the family's 1478-position model. The record is from RNAcentral.